GACAGUGGCAGACUGGUGAGUAACGCGUGGAUAAUCUGCCCCGAAGAUGAGGAUAGCUCGCCGAAAGGUGAGGUAAUCCUCAAUGGUGUGGGAAGUACAUAUGUACAUCCCACUAAAGCUUUAGCGCUUCGGGAUGAGUCUGCGUCCUAUCAGCUUGUUGGUAGAGUAAAGGUCUACCAAGGCUAAGACGGGUAACUGGUCUGAGAGGAUGGUCAGUCACAGUGGCACUGAAACACGGGCCACACUCCUACGGGAGGCAGCAAUUAGGAAUCUUGCACAAUGGAGGAAACUCUGAUGCAGCGACACCGCGUGAAGGAUGAAGACCCUCGGGUUGUAAACUUCUUUUAUAAUCUAACAAGUUCUGAGUGGAGUAUGAAUAAGCACCUGCUAACUGCGUGCCAGAAGCAUCGGUGAAGCGUGGGGUGCGAGCGUUAUCCGGAUUUAUUGGGCGUAAAGAGAUGCGUAGGCGUUUUGGUAAGUCUUCUGUCAAAGCCUUCGGCCUAACCGAAGAAAGGCAGAGGAUACUAUCAGAAUUGAGACAGAGAGGGGGAAGUGGAAUUCCCGGUGGAGCGGUGAAAUGCGUUGAUAUCGGGAGGAACACCAGUGGCGAAGGCAACUUCCUGGCUCUGUUCUGACGCUGAGGCUCGAAAGCGUGGGUAGCGAACGGGAUUAGAUACCCCGGUAGUCCACGCCGUAAACGAUGGGUACUAGGUGCAGGUGGUAUCGAUCCCUUCUGUGCCGAAGCAAACGCGUUAAGUACCCCGCCUGGGGAGUACGGCCGCAAGGCUAAAACUCAAAGGAAUAGACGGGGGCCCGCACAAGCGGUGGAGCAUUGUGGUUAAUACGACGCAACGCGUAGAACCUUACCAGGGCUUGACAUGCUUGGUGGUACUGGCUCCGAAAGGAGACCAUGACCCUUCGGGGAGCCAACACAGAUGUUGCACCGGCUGUCGUCAGCUCCGUGUCGUGAGAUGUUGGGUUUAGUCCCGCAACGAGCGGCAACCCUUGUCCUUAGUUGCCAGCAGGUUAAUUCUGGGGACUCUAAGGAGACUGCCUGUGAUAAGCAGGAUGGAAGGUGAGGAUGACGUCAAGUCAUUGUGGCUCUUACGUCACUGGGGCUACACACGUGUUACUAUUGGGUCGAUUACAAUGGGUAGCAAUGCCUCGAGGUGGAGCCAAUCCCCAAAAGUCGCCCUCAGUUCGGAUUGGAGUCUGCAACUCGACUCCAUGAAGUCGGAAUCGCUAGUUAAUGGCGCAUCAGCUACGGCGCCGUGAAUACGUUCCCGGGCAUUGUACUCACCGCCCGUCACAUCACCUGAGUUGAUUGCACCUGAAG
RNAcentral lists this ribosomal RNA (1336 nucleotides) under uncultured organism. RNAcentral's name for it is "16S ribosomal RNA". It matches the Rfam family "Bacterial small subunit ribosomal RNA", at positions 91 to 1426 of the family's 1533-position model. The record is from RNAcentral.